This 207-nucleotide ribosomal RNA is filed under the name uncultured bacterium. RNAcentral describes it as "partial 16S ribosomal RNA". It matches the Rfam family "Bacterial small subunit ribosomal RNA", at positions 568 to 774 of the family's 1533-position model. The record is from RNAcentral.
CGCGUAGGCGGACAGUUUAGUCAGAGGUUAAAGCCCAGGGCUCAACCUUGGAAUCGCCUUUGAUACUGGCUGUCUUGAGUACGGGAGAGGUGUGUGGAACUCCGAGUGUAGAGGUGAAAUUCGUAGAUAUUCGGAAGAACACCAGUGGCGAAGGCGACACACUGGCCCGUUACUGACGCUGAGGCGCGAAAGCGUGGGGAGCAAACA